GCAAGCUGAGGACGGCGUUCAAUGCUUGACGUUGGGCGGAACCAGCAAAGCUCAGGCCGCCCACCGACCUCAACAUCAGACCCUUCAGGCUCUGCGGGGCGAGCCUGACGGGGACGCCCCGCUGCGUCUGACGUCAGCUCGCCGACGCGGCGCGGGUUGGGGUGAAUCCAGGAGGAGACCCGUUCCUCUCUGGACCUCGACCUGCAGGUGGGAAGGGGAAAGAGUGGCAAGCGGCAGUCAAUAAAAGCCGAACAAGCCAGGCGUUGGUGGCGCACGCCUUUAAUCCCAGCACUCGGGAGGCAGAGCCAGGUGGAUCUUUGUGAGUUCGAGGCCAGCCUGGGCUACCAAGUGAGUUCCAGGAAAGGCGCAAAGCUACACAGAGAAACCCUGUCUCGAAAAAAAAAACCCAAAUCAAAGCCGAACAAAAGAAGCCAGGCUGGGAUUCGGCUGUGUCAACUGGACAGUGGAUGAAAUUUAAAAAAGAAAGAAAGAAAAGGAAAAACUGUUUUCUUACAGUAGCUAACACCUGUUGAGCGGCUGCAGCUUACCAAGCACCGCCUGCCUGUGAAGAUGGCCCUUCCUAUGGUGACAGAUAAGAAAUUAAUAAUUCACUACGGGGCAGUUACUAAAGAAAUGCCCCGUGACAGACUGGAAGCAGCUCUCGAACCCUCGUCCCUAGCUAAGGAGCUAGGGACAAAUGGCUUCUGGGAGCUAGAGAGUCAGUUGUCUUUCAGGGUGUGGCCAUGCUCAAAUGGAUGACGCAACGUCCAUGAGACUGACAGAAAAAAAAGUGGACUCGGUAUUUUGUUGUUUGUUUUGAUUUUUUAGGUCUGGAGAGGUAGGUUGGUGGUUAAGAACACUGGCUGCUAUUCCAGAGGACCCGGGUUCAAUUUCCAGCACCCACAUGGUGGCUCACAACCUUCUUAGGGAGUUCAAAAGAAACAGAACAUCGUCUACGGCCAUACCACCCUGAACGCGCCCGAUCUCGUCUGAUCUCCGAAGAAACAGAACAUCGUUGGACAUGAAAAGUACGGGAGUUUGAACAUGUUUAUUUUUCAGAUACCAAGAGCUACAGAACAGCCCCAACCCACUGAUGAAUGUUUUAAUGUCAAUAAACUUCUCAAACCCA
Non-coding RNA from Peromyscus maniculatus bairdii (prairie deer mouse), 1129 nucleotides. The record is from RefSeq and is a predicted model, not a curated record. Lineage: Eukaryota; Metazoa; Chordata; Mammalia; Rodentia; Cricetidae.